Molecule: ribosomal RNA, 413 nt
Filed under: Salmonella enterica
Lineage: Bacteria; Pseudomonadati; Pseudomonadota; Gammaproteobacteria; Enterobacterales; Enterobacteriaceae
Description: partial 23S ribosomal RNA
Rfam family: Bacterial large subunit ribosomal RNA
Source: RNAcentral
GGGUUGUGAGGUUAAGCGACUAAGCGUACACGGUGGAUGCCCUGGCAGUCAGAGGCGAUGAAGGACGUGCUAAUCUGCGAUAAGCGCCGGUAAGGUGAUAUGAACCGUUAUAACCGGCGGUUUCCGAAUGGGGAAACCCAGUGUGACUCGUCACACUAUCAUUAACUGAAUCCAUAGGUUAAUGAGGCGAACCGGGGGAACUGAAACAUCUAAGUACCCCGAGGAAAAGAAAUCAACCGAGAUUCCCCCAGUAGCGGCGAGCGAACGGGGAGGAGCCCAGAGCCUGAAUCAGCAUGUGUGUUAGUGGAAGCGUCUGGAAAGGCGCGCGAUACAGGGUGACAGCCCCGUACACAAAAGCGCAUGUGCUGUGAGCUCGAUGAGUAGGGCGGGACACGUGGUAUCCUGUCUGAAUA